Nicotiana tabacum (common tobacco) is the source of this 1271-nucleotide long non-coding RNA. RefSeq lists it as uncharacterized. The record is from RefSeq and is a predicted model, not a curated record. NCBI's taxonomy places the organism in Eukaryota, Viridiplantae, Streptophyta, Magnoliopsida, Solanales, Solanaceae.
GAUAGAAACUGGAAAAGGUAGAAAAGCUAAAGCGCGAAUAAACCCCUUCCCCUAAUUCGUAAACCUGAAAUUUCCAGAUCAAUCAUUUGGAACAGUUGAGCAAUGGCGCCUGUUCUUUCAAGGUUUCAAUUUGAGAUCUAUGAUCAAAUUGGGCCUGGUAUAAGCUGUUAUAAUGCCGAAGUGAAGUUUGAUAGAGAAGGGCAGCCUGUGCAGACGUUUGUUAGUAAUUCAUCACAUUAUACACUUGCUAGUGCAAUACCGUAUGAAGACUUUCAAACGGCAGCCGGAUUUUACAUGAUCAUGAAGGAAAUUGUGAUUCAUCUUGGGGGUCGAUAUAUUUAAAUAGUUCAAAGUUUUUUUUCCUUCUUAUAAAUGGUUACAUGAGUUUAUGAUUUUUCAGUCAAAUCCUUAGCGGCCUCAAGCAGAUUCAUAAGUGGUGGUUUCGUCAUGGGAAUCUGGAGAAGGGAGUCUUGUUCAGUGAGGAUGGAAACAUCUGACUUUUUGAUUUCAAUCACAAUACAACAGCCGAUGAAAAUUCCAUGAAAACUGAUUUCGAUGCAUUCUCAUCCAUCAUUUAGUCUGCUAUUAGCAGAACUGGAUUGACUGAAGAGAGGUGGCCCCCUCACAUUAAAGUUUUUUUCCAAUUGUUGGGCAAUACUUGACCAGGUGACCAUGCCAGCAAUACAGUGCUUCUAGCCUAUGUGGACCGAUUCUACGAUUCACCUCUUUUCUGGCGCAAUACAAAAAAAGGAAUUUUCAUCGAUGAGCUUGCAAGAGUGCUGAAGAGAAGUCCUAGUGCAGUUACCCGACAUUUCCAGUUGGAUUUUUCUAAGCAAUGGGGAAAUAUUGAAUACAACUCUGAAUUCUACCAAUGCUUCACCUUUAAAUAUGAAGACUAUGGCUGUUCAAAUGCAUAUAAGAAGCCCUAUAGGAUUGUCAAGGCACAAUAUGCUUUUGGUCAGGAUGUGGUUUUUGACUUGGAAAGAGAGUUUCUGCAGCUUAUUGCUAACACAUAUAAUGCUUGCGUUGCUGGUAAGUUCAAGGAUCAACCAAUCAGUUAUCACCAAAUUGAUUCGCCGAAACCUGAUUCAAUCUGGUAAGAUUCUAAAAUUAGUAACCUUACUUGUCUUAACUUUAACCUUACGUACAAGGAUCAACCUAGCUUGCUGGAAGAAUAUUUUUUCCAGCUUCGUACCUUGUCUAUAACGUUCAUCAGCUCUCCAUUUUUCUCUCCAAGAUUAAAUCAAUCUGAGUUCAAAAAGCUCAGCUUG